Molecule: microRNA precursor, 99 nt
Organism: Echinops telfairi (small Madagascar hedgehog)
Lineage: Eukaryota; Metazoa; Chordata; Mammalia; Afrosoricida; Tenrecidae
Gene: MIR96
Product: microRNA 96
Source: Ensembl
GCACCACCUGCUUGGCCGAUUUUGGCACUAGCACAUUUUUGCUUGUGUCUCUCCGCUCUGAGCAAUCAUGUGCAGUGCCAAUAUGGGAGAAGCGGGCAG